This 136-nucleotide ribosomal RNA is filed under the name Escherichia coli. RNAcentral describes it as "partial 16S ribosomal RNA". It matches the Rfam family "Bacterial small subunit ribosomal RNA", at positions 1408 to 1533 of the family's 1533-position model. RNAcentral also lists the same sequence under 3 other names. The record is from RNAcentral. Lineage: Bacteria; Pseudomonadati; Pseudomonadota; Gammaproteobacteria; Enterobacterales; Enterobacteriaceae.
GAGUGGGUUGCAAAAGAAGUAGGUAGCUUAACCUUCGGGAGGGCGCUUACCACUUUGUGAUUCAUGACUGGGGUGAAGUCGUAACAAGGUAACCGUAGGGGAACCUGCGGUUGGAUCACCUCCUUACCUUAAAGAA